Molecule: long non-coding RNA, 553 nt
Filed under: Gallus gallus (chicken)
Lineage: Eukaryota; Metazoa; Chordata; Aves; Galliformes; Phasianidae
Description: long non-coding RNA NONGGAT005694
Source: RNAcentral
GGUAACUUUAGCCCUAACACAGCCCGGGAUGACUUCACGUUUCAUUCCAGAUACCUCUCCUUCAAGGAAAACGUAAUUAACGCCAAUUAAAAGCAUCCGGCAGAAUCGAGGAGUGAGGGCUGCAGGGAUGGGGAGAGCAGAACGCCGACACAGAGCACUGGGGGCGUAACAGCAGUGCUCAGCCUGACUGCCACAUCACCUCCAUUGCAUCGCAUCACCUCCAUCGCAUCACCUCCACAUCACAUCACCUCCAUUGCAUCACCUCCAUUGCAUCACCUCCACCACAUCACAUCACCUCCAUCGCAUCACCUGUGCCCCAGUGCUGCACCCCACCCGGGGGGGGUUAACCCUCCGCCUCCGAUGCCUUCCACACCUGAGAGCUGCUGAGGAUCUCCUUAUGGGGAGGAAGGCUGAAAGUGAAACGGGGCCGGAAAGCCUGGAGUGGAGGGGAAAGGCACUGCAGGCAGAGCAGGAAGGUUAGUGAGGAGUCACAGAGAAGGCGUUUACAGACAGGAAGGAGAAGCAGAGAAGCAAGCAGCACAGCUGAGGUUCG